RNAcentral lists this ribosomal RNA (291 nucleotides) under uncultured Pseudomonas sp. RNAcentral describes it as "partial 16S ribosomal RNA". It matches the Rfam family "Bacterial small subunit ribosomal RNA", at positions 1091 to 1381 of the family's 1533-position model. Lineage: Bacteria; Pseudomonadati; Pseudomonadota; Gammaproteobacteria; Pseudomonadales; Pseudomonadaceae. The record is from RNAcentral.
AACGAGCGCAACCCUUGUCCUUAGUUACCAGCACGUUAUGGUGGGCACUCUAAGGAGACUGCCGGUGACAAACCGGAGGAAGGUGGGGAUGACGUCAAGUCAUCAUGGCCCUUACGGCCUGGGCUACACACGUGCUACAAUGGUCGGUACAAAGGGUUGCCAAGCCGCGAGGUGGAGCUAAUCCCAUAAAACCGAUCGUAGUCCGGAUCGCAGUCUGCAACUCGACUGCGUGAAGUCGGAAUCGCUAGUAAUCGUGAAUCAGAAUGUCACGGUGAAUACGUUCCCGGCCUU